Molecule: long non-coding RNA, 566 nt
Organism: Vitis riparia (riverbank grape)
Lineage: Eukaryota; Viridiplantae; Streptophyta; Magnoliopsida; Vitales; Vitaceae
Exons: 3
Source: RefSeq, a predicted model, not a curated record
GUCGGCUUCGGUGAAGAAGUCUGAAGUUUUGCUGUUGCAUUUGCGCUACUUGCAGCUGGUGCCAUAAUUCUGACUUUAAAUGUACUACUAUUGGGUGGCCACAUAAUUUUCUUCCAGAGUAUUAGUCUUCUGGGCUACUGCCUAUUCCCACUGGAUGUUGGAGCCCUAAUCUGCAUGUUAAAGGACAAUGUGAUAGUGAAGGUAAUUGUGGUUUGUGUGACAUUGGCUUGGAGCUCAUGGGCUGCAUAUCCAUUCAUGAGUUCAGCAGUCAACCCUCGGAGAAAAGCUCUUGCACUCUACCCUGUCUUACUCAUGUAUGUAUCUGUUGGGUUUCUCAUAAUUGCAAUUGAUUAAUGCACCAUUGGUGGCCACAAUACAAUUCCCAUAGGACGAUGAAAUUCACAUGCAAUAGUAGGCAUUUUACAUGUGCUAUUUUGCUUCUGGUGGAUUUUCUUGAACUUCUCUAUUUCUGACUUGAUAUGUCUGGAGACUCAAUCUGCCAAUAUUAUAUUGUAUACUCAUUGUAUGAAAUUUUUACUUGGAAGUGGAACCAGUGUUGUGCUAUA